UACGUAGGGGGGCAAGCGUUAUCCGGAAUGAUUGGGCGUAAAGCGUCUGUAGGUGGCUUUUUAAGUCCGCCGUCAAAUCCCAGGGCUCAACCCUGGACAGGCGGUGGAAACUACCAAGCUGGAGUACGGUAGGGGCAGAGGGAAUUUCCGGUGGAGCGGUGAAAUGCGUAGAGAUCCGGAGGAACACCAAAGGCGAAGGCAGUGUCCUGGGGAGUACCUGACGCUCAGGUGCGAAAGCCAGGGGAGCGAACGGG
RNAcentral lists this ribosomal RNA (254 nucleotides) under uncultured bacterium. RNAcentral describes it as "partial 16S ribosomal RNA". It matches the Rfam family "Bacterial small subunit ribosomal RNA", at positions 524 to 776 of the family's 1533-position model. The record is from RNAcentral.